UGGGGAAUUUUGGACAAUGGGCGCAAGCCUGAUCCAGCAAUGCCGCGUGCAGGAGAAGGCCUUCGGGUUGUAAACUGCUUUUGUACGGAACGAAAAGGCUCCUUCUAAUACAGGGGCUAAUGACGGUACCGUAAGAAUAAGCACCGGCUAACUACGUGCCAGCAGCCGCGGUAAUACGUAGGGUGCGAGCGUUAAUCGGAAUUACUGGGCGUAAAGCGUGCGCAGGCGGUCUUGUAAGACAGAUGUGAAAUCCCCGGGCUUAACCUGGGACCUGCAUUUGUGACUGCAAGGCUGGAGUGUGGCAGAGGGGGAUGGAAUUCCGCGUGUAGCAGUGAAAUGCGUAGAUAUGCGGAGGAACACCGAUGGCGAAGGCAAGUCCCCUGGGCCUGCACUGACGCUCAU
RNAcentral lists this ribosomal RNA (402 nucleotides) under uncultured bacterium. RNAcentral's name for it is "bacterial SSU rRNA". It matches the Rfam family "Bacterial small subunit ribosomal RNA", at positions 355 to 750 of the family's 1533-position model. The record is from RNAcentral.